This 1290-nucleotide ribosomal RNA is filed under the name Derbidae sp. 1 MLC-2022a. Its description in RNAcentral is "SSU rRNA". It matches the Rfam family "Eukaryotic small subunit ribosomal RNA", at positions 591 to 1774 of the family's 1831-position model. Lineage: Eukaryota; Metazoa; Arthropoda; Insecta; Hemiptera; Derbidae. The record is from RNAcentral.
CCAAUAGCGUAUAUUAAAGUUGUUGCGGUUAAAAAGCUCGUAGUUGGAUCUGUGUCUCGCACCGUCGGUUCACCGCCUGUCGGUGUUCAACUGGCGUUUUAGCGAGACGUACUGCCGGUGGCCGACCGGUCCCCGAGGGGUUAACCCUAGGUCGUUCCCCUCGGUUCUCGAGGCGGCGCGUCCGAAGGCCCUCACGGUGAGUCCGGCGGCCUUGUCAAUCCCGUCGCGGUGCUCUUAAACGAGUGUCGGGGCGGGCCGGCACGUUUACUUUGAACAAAUUAGAGUGCUUUAAGCGAGGCAGAGUGAUUGCCUGUAUGUUGUGUGCAUGGAAUAAUGGAAUAGGACCUCGGUUCUAUUUUGUUGGUUUUCGGAACCUGAGGUAAUGAUCAAUGGGGACUGGCGGGGGCAUUCGUAUUGCGGCGUUAGAGGUGAAAUUCUUGGAUCGUCGCAAGACGAACAGAAGCGAAAGCAUUUGCCAAGUAUGUCCUCGUCGAUCAAGAACGAAAGUUAGAGGUUCGAAGGCGAUCAGAUACCGCCCUAGUUCUAACCAUAAACUAUGCCUGCCAGCGAUCCGUCGCAGUUCAUAAGAUGACUCGGCGGGCAGCUUUUCGGGAAACCAAAGCUUUUGGGUUCCGGGGGAAGUAUGGUUGCAAAGCUGAAACUUAAAGGAAUUGACGGAAGGGCACCACCAGGAGUGGAGCCUGCGGCUUAAUUUGACUCAACACGGGAAAACUCACCAGGCCCGGACACCAUAAGGAUUGACAGAUUGAGAGCUCUUUCUUGAUUCGGUGGGUGGUGGUGCAUGGCCGUUCUUAGUUCGUGGAGCGAUUUGUCUGGUUAAUUCCGAUAACCGAGCGAGACUCUAGCCUACUAAAUAGCCGUACCCGGUAUCCACAAUCGUGCUACCGGCGUACAAUUAUCUUCUUAGAGGGACAGGCGGCUUCUAGCCGCACGAGACUGAGCAAUAACAGGUCUGUGAUGCCCUUAGAUGUCCUGGGCCGCACGCGCGCUACACUGAAGGAAUCAGCGUGUCUUCCCUGUCCGAAAGGACCGGGUAACCCGUUGAACCUCCUUUGUGCUUGGGAUUGGGGCUUGCAAUUGCUCCCCAUGAACGAGGAAUUCCCAGUAAGCGCGAGUCAUAAGCUCGCGUUGAUUACGUCCCUGCCCUUUGUACACACCGCCCGUCGCUACUACCGAUUGAAUGAUUUAGUGAGGUCUUCGGACCGGUGCGCGGAGGCCGCUUCGCGGUCUCUCCGAUGUCGCUGGAAAGAUGACCAAACUUGAUCAUUU